Molecule: ribosomal RNA, 254 nt
Filed under: uncultured bacterium
Lineage: Bacteria
Description: partial 16S ribosomal RNA
Rfam family: Bacterial small subunit ribosomal RNA
Source: RNAcentral
UACGUAGGGUGCGAGCGUUGUCCGGAAUUAUUGGGCGUAAAGAGCUCGUAGGCGGUCUGUCGCGUCGAUCGUGAAAACUUGGGGCUUAACCCUGAGCUUGCGGUCGAUACGGGCAUGACUGGAGUUCGACAGGGGAGACUGGAAUUCCUGGCGUAGCGGUGAAAUGCGCAGAUAUCAGGAGGAACACCGGUGGCGAAGGCGGGUCUCUGGGCCGAUACUGACGCUGAGGAGCGAAAGCGUGGGGAGCGAACAGG